RNAcentral lists this long non-coding RNA (802 nucleotides) under Salmo salar (Atlantic salmon). RNAcentral describes it as "lncRNA (ENSSSAG00000088681.1)". The record is from RNAcentral. Lineage: Eukaryota; Metazoa; Chordata; Actinopteri; Salmoniformes; Salmonidae.
CCCCCCUCUCCUCUCCCCUCCCCCCUCUGUCCUCUUCAUAAUUUUAUCACUGACUUCUCACCAGUGAUGUCAUCAUAACCAGUAACCUUUUCCUCUCUUGUCCCAGCCCAGCCUGACCCUGACAUAUAGCAUCAGGCCUGUUGAGUUGACUUGGGUAACAGACCUCUAGCUUCUACAUCACAUCCCCCCUUCUCCUGCUCUAACAUGAGACCUCAUCAGAACUCAUUCUGGGUGCUGGUACUGUUUAUAUUUAGGUGCUGGAACAUUAAUCCAAUAUUCUAUAAGAGGUGAACUCAAGCAGUAGAAAGUUAGAGGUGAUAUUAUAGGACACUAUGUGAAACGUUGCUGCUCUGUCAGCAGUUUCCUGUGGAGUUUUUUUUUAACAUAUCAGUUUGCUGUAGUGUGUUCAACCACUGAUCCUAGAUAAGCUGCUAAGAAGUUUAUCUCACAUCAAAGACCUACUGAACUAAUGAGAGAGAAGUCAUAUAGCCGAGCAGUAUGUUCCACUCUUCAGUCCAAACUUUAUGACAGUGACUUGUAUAUGUCAGUGGAGCCCCAGUUAGAGACAGACAUGAUAUCUGCAGGGAUAUUGAUGAUCCUCUUCUGGAACACAGAUCUCCAGGCUCAAAGCGUCAGUCCACCAGGAAGAGAGGGAGAGGAGCAGAGAGAGAGGAAGGAGAGAGACGAGGGGACAGAGGACGGGAGGAGAGAUAGAGUGGAGGGGAGGAGAGAGAAGGAGAUGUCAACAAGAUGGGGCUGACAGACUAACAUGCAGUCAACUGAAUAACUUUUCAUUACCGAC